AGGUCAGUAGAGGUCAGUCUCAGUACUGUGUGUCAGGUCAGUAGAGUUCAGUCUCAGUACUGUGUGUCAGGUCAGUAGAGUUCAGUCUCAGUACUGUGUCAGGUCAGUAGAGUUCAGUCUCAGUACUGUGUCAGGUCAGUAGAGUUCAGUCUCAGUACUGUGUCAGGUCAGUAGAGUUCAGUCUCAGUACUGUGUGUCAGGCCAGUAGAGUUCAGUCUCAGUACUGUGUGUCAGGUCAGUAGAGGUCAGUCUCAGUACUGUGUCAGGUCAGUAGAGUUCAGUCUCAGUACUGUGUCAGGUCAGUAGAGUUCAGUCUCAGUACUGUGUGUCAGGUCAGUAGAGUUCAGUCUCAGUACUGUGUGUCAGGUCAGUAGAGGUCAGUCUCAGUACUGUGUGUCAGGUCAGUAGAGUUCAGUCUCAGUACUGUGUCAGGUCAGUAGAGUUCAGUCUCAGUACUGUGUCAGGUCAGUAGAGUUCAGUCUCAGUACUGUGUGUCAGGCCAGUAGAGGUCAGUCUCAGUACUGUGUCAGGUCAGUAGAGUUCAGUCUCAGUACU
Molecule: long non-coding RNA, 555 nt
Organism: Oncorhynchus keta (chum salmon)
Lineage: Eukaryota; Metazoa; Chordata; Actinopteri; Salmoniformes; Salmonidae
Exons: 3
Source: RefSeq, a predicted model, not a curated record